UCUUCAGGAAGAGGGUUGGGCAGCCCUGAUCUAAAUCAAUCAAAUGAUUAAUAAUCAGUGAUCACUGCUGUUAUGUUUGUCUCUAUUUCCACUGAAGGAACCAGAAGUGUUCCCUGGACAGACUUGGAAACCUUCACCCUAGUCAACAUAUGGGGAGAUGACAAAAUGUAGAGGGAAUUGAUUGAGGGGUAUGCAUAGAAAUGGGCACCUUUUUGCUGUGAUAUCCCAAAGGAUGUCUGCCCAGGGCGUUAUAAGGACUGCAGAGCAGUGCCAGACAAGGGUUAAAAGACUGAAACUGAGUUUCCGACAGUGCUAUGAGAACAAGUAUGUCAGUUAUAGUUUAACAAUCAUUUUCUUUGUGCAUUGGGAGUCCCACAGAGAUCUAUGCUCGGGCCUUUGCAUUCAUGUUUGAUAUCCUGUCAUGGCUUACAUUUUGUCUAUUUGAGACAGAAAAAUGCUUUGCUUUGAAAAUGUGCUUUGUUUUCUUUCCCCAAACGCAGCAUGAAAGGCAGAGAGCAAGUAGAAUGCAAAUUAUAUGACCUGCUGGAGAGAAUACUGGGGAAUGAGCUUCCCUCACAUGUGGAGAUGUCAGAACUGUCUUGACAUGGAGUCUAGAGAAUCAUCAUCAGCAGACAACGAGUGCUCUGUUUACUCUUCCCAGGAGAGGGGGGCUAUGGUGGGCGUGCCAGAGGACAGGAAGAAGAUCCCCUGGGCGGACGGCGAGACGGUGAUCCUCCUGGAGCUCUGGGGAGACGACACUGUGCAGCAGAACCUGAAGCGCUGCCCGCACAACAGUCACAUAUACUCAGAGAUUUCGGGAAAGCUCAACUUCCGUGGUUAUUACAGAACUGCAGAUCAGUGCCACACCAGGAUAAAGCGAUUGAAAGCCGGCUAUCGGCAGUGCCAGGAAACCAUCUGGUAAUCAUUGCAUUUCAGCUUCUAUUAUUGAUACAUUUGUAAUUUUGCUAAUGUAAAUUGAAUUAAAGAUUGAUUCUAAUUUUGCAAUCUCUCUAACUGUGCACUUCCUAGUUAAUCUGGAUCUGAGCAGGUUGAUUUUAAGUUCUACGAUAUUUUAGAUCAAAUACUUGAGAUGCAGCCUCCCUCCACCAGCACAGUAUGUUUGUACCCCACAGAUUUAUAUUGGACACUUUCUGAUGUUUUUAUGUUGAUAUUAUUUUGCAGAAACAUACAAAUAAGUUUACUCUAGUCUAACCCAUAGCCAGAAUACUCCAUCUCAAGUUUUUUAAAUGGCUUCCUUUUCUGUCUGCUGUUCUCAGAUGUGGAAGAAAAGUAGCGGAACACAGGUUCUACAAUCAGUUGGAGCGAAUACUUGGUCAUGAAGUGGUCUCCAUUGAUGAGUAUGAUGAAAGAGAUGAUCAAACAGUAGACCAGGACACAGGUACAUUGGCAGUACAGACGGUUUAUCUGUUUACAUUGAAGACUCAGUCAAUCAAAUCAGCAGAGCCGUACCUAUGAUCUGGAUCUAGCCGUACCUAUGAUCCUGGAGCAGGUGCUGAAGGGAUGAGAUAUACCCCGUGGUCAGAGACGCUGGCCCUCAUUGAGCUGUGGGGGAACGAGGAGGUCCAGAAGAGCCUCCGAGGUUGCGUUGGCAAAGGGCACAUUUUCGCCGACAUAGCGGAGAAGCUGGCCACCAUUGGGCACUUCAAAACGGCUGAGCAGUGCCACUCGAGGGUUAAGCGGCUGAGGAAAACUUACCGACGGUGUCUCCACAGCAGGACAAACAGAGGGGAGCCCUUACUCUUCAGAUACUACAGGUUCCUGGAGCCGGUGCUAGGCAACGACACUCUCUCCCUCGAUGCAGAGAUUGUUGAUUUGUGUGAUGACUUCAGUCCACAUCCCACUGAGGAACCAGAUCAGGAAACAUGCCAGGGCUCAGUCAGUUACGCUGUGACAGAGUCCAGCAGAAAGAUGCCCUGGUCCGAUCGGGAGACCCAGGCUCUGCUGGAGGUCUGGGGUGAGGACCACGUGCAGCUCUCCCUCCGCGGCUGCUUGAAGAACAGACACGUGUUUGAGUACAUCUCAUGGAGGAUGACGGCCCAAAGAUUCAUAAGGACGGCUGAGCAGUGCCACACCCUCAUCAAACGACGCAAGGCCAGCUUCCACCGUGACAACUAGCCGUCCUUUAACUGACGGCUCCAAGUUCCCCUGGAGUGCCAGUGAAACCGAGGUCCUCCUCAGUAUCUGGGGGAGUGACGAGGUCCAGCAGGAUCUGAAGGACUGCACCAAAAACAGACACAUUGUCACUGAGAUCUCUCAGGCAAUGGCCAACGAGGGCUAACUGAGGACAGCCCAACCGUUCCAGUCUAGAGUGAAGCUGCUAAAGGCCAACUUCCGCCAGUUCUGUGAGAGCAAUCAGGUUGGAGGGGAAGAAGUGGAGUGCAAAUUCUAUGAUCAGUUUGUGCAAAUAUUUGGGAACAAGUGUCUAUCCUGUGAUUCUCUGGCUGAGAAAUCGAACGGCGCCACAGACAUGCGAGAGGUCCCAGGUGGACAAGUCCAAGGAACAGGUAAGCAAACAAUCUCCUAAUCUCUUUUUAGGCUCUCCAGAAUCAGGCAGCUGUCCAUCACCAUGGGAACUAGAUCUCCCCUGGAGCAUUGAGGAGACUGAAGCCCUCCUCGACAUGUGGGGCAGUGACAGAAUCCAAUAGGACCUGAGGGGAAACACUGAACUUCAACACAUUUAUACAGAGAUCUCUCAAAUGACUGACCAGGGCUUCAUGAAAACAGCAGAGCAGUGCCAGACGAGGGCGACGCAACUGAACCUGAGUAUUAUUUCAAUCUGACAGAGGAAGCAUUAGGGAUCAUCUCAAGACAGUUUUGUAGCACCACAGGAAAGCUGCAAUGACUCAACAAUGACUUCUGGAAAAGAGGUGUUUAAAUAAUGACCUGUGUCUCUUCUCUCCUGCGUUGUUUUCGGAGAGGUUCUGUAAUCUAUCAAAGAGGCACUGUUGCUUUGUUAAGAAACUCAACAUCCAUCCCACUUUUUUUGUCUGAAAUCAGACACUUAUUUAACCCUUUGUAUAGGUGCUUAAAUCUAAGUGUAAUGGACUAUCUGGAUGCAUUUCUGUCAUGUAUAGAACUUAACAAAACCUUUUCAAUGGGAUUGGCUUGAGUGAAUCCUUUAACGAGAAUUGGUCAAAACCACAUGACAUUUUGGACAUCUUGAUUUUGCAUUAAGAUUUGCAAAACAAUAGGCUUGCUAUUAUGCAUAUAUUUGUGUAUUUUAUGCACAUUGGUGUUUAAGCAAUCUUUGUGCUUUUAGGCCUAGUUUCAAGUGAACUCAUUUAGAUUUAAAUUCCUUUGAGUGGGGUUUGAAUGCCUGAUUGUUAUGCUACUGUAUAAUCUCUGUUACUGUAGGAUAUCUUUCUCUCAGUGGGUUUUUAUCUCUAUCUACGUUCACCGAAACACUGAGGUUUCUGUUGUUACCAGCUCUAACCACUGGGGGGAGACAAACAAAAUCCUAUUUUAUCCUCAACAGAUUGUCUAGAGCCCCAUAGUAAGUAACCACUAGAAGUCUGGAAGCACAAGCACCUACUUUUUGCUUAAUCAUACGUUAUUGUUAUAUACCAUGGUGAGAUAGCUUUUGAAACAAAUCCGGUUCUCAGCAUUGAUGGUGUUGGUUGUUCCUCGGAUUACCAUUUGCAUAGAGAGGACACUUUGCAUUAGCAGUGCAUGCUUCAGUGGUCUGGGAGUGUUUAUAUCCCUGUGAGUUUAACACUUCAUGACUGAGAGCUGUCCUUCAUGACAACAGAACCCACAACAACCAUGACUUUUAGCACCAUCUUCAUCUGGAUACUUGCCCUCUGUCUCCAAGAGGCCAGUACACUGUGACUCAAGACUCCUGCAGUGUAAACUAUUUCAGUGGGACACUCAGUCAGUCUCAGCUGUAAGACAGCAGUGCUGUAUACAGUGAGGGCAAUGGACACUAUUUGCACUGGUAACAACAGAAACCUGGAGGAGCUCCUAAACUCCUGAUAGACUCCUGAUAUACCCUUCAGUCUGGGACUCCAUCUAGAGUCAGUGGCAGUGGAUCUGGGAGUGACUUCAGUCUGACCAUCAAGGGAGUCCAGGUUGAAGAUGCAGGAGAUUACUGUUGUCAGUGCACACUACUUAAGUGCCUGGGUGUUCACACAGUGAUACAGAGCCGUACAAAAAACUCCCUCAGUCAGACUGCGCAGUGACUCUACUGCUACAACAGGGAGUUAUUCCAGGUGCUGAGGGGAAGACAGUGACAUGGAAGACUGAUCAGUAGAGGAGGUCAACUUUGAAAAUGGCUAGAAAGUAUCAUACAAAUCACACGUUCUCCAACAUCGUCAUAACUGUCCUAAUCUUCAUGAUCAUCAUCAUCAUCAUGGCUGUAACUUGUUAUAUUGGUUCAUGAACUCAAAGUUUAUAUAAAAGUUAUUUGUAGUUUUGGAACACAUUACCAGUCCAUAUGCAGAGUAAGAUGUACAGAAGGAAAAAUAAUAGGGAUGUUAUUGAUGAUAACCAGUUAUUGAUGUGAUCAUCUAGCAUGCAUUAACCAUUUUCAUGAGCUGUUAGAUCUGUGAAUGAGACAUGAUGUGUUUGAGACACAUAUAUGUAGAUACAUACACUUUACGCUAUUAUCAUAAAGUACAAUAACCAUUUUAUCUGUCUAUUAAUUACAUGGUGAAUCCACCAUAGAUGUUAAACCAGUCCACUUCCUCACAUCUGGCCCAGCCCAGGGUAUUUCACUUAGUUAAACUGUUCAACUGCUAGACUGAUAGCUGUGAGAGUGAAACUGAGAUUUGCAUAAACAGGGAUUGUUGAUUCUGCUUGUCCCAGAAUAGAGCAGCACUGUCACCAUGUUAGCAAUUCAACAUUAUAAAUAUAUUUGUUAUGGAAAGUAACUGUUUAGCAGUGUGAGUUCUGAGAGCCGAUCUCAGAGGUUUAUUAUCACUUGUAUUGGAGCUACAGUAUAACAGGAUCAUUCAGUUGUAGAAAUUAUUGCAGAGUUUUUGUUGGAUCAGAUGCCUUUUUCAUUCUGUUUGAAAAAAUUAGAGUAGCGAUAUGCUACAAUGCUGAAAUAAUAGAAAAAGAUUAUUGAUGUAAAUUAGUAUUGAAACGUGCUGCAAAUUCAUAAGAUAGUGAUCACAGGAAUCAUGAUAAAAUCAACUAUUGGGGUUAUAUUUCAAUUAAAACAAUCUUUAUCUCAGA
This is a long non-coding RNA of Oncorhynchus tshawytscha (Chinook salmon), 5196 nucleotides long. RefSeq lists it as uncharacterized. Lineage: Eukaryota; Metazoa; Chordata; Actinopteri; Salmoniformes; Salmonidae. The transcript is spliced from 7 exons. The record is from RefSeq and is a predicted model, not a curated record.